RNAcentral lists this ribosomal RNA (484 nucleotides) under uncultured bacterium. RNAcentral describes it as "partial 16S ribosomal RNA". It matches the Rfam family "Bacterial small subunit ribosomal RNA", at positions 30 to 507 of the family's 1533-position model. The record is from RNAcentral.
AUUGAACGCUGGCGGAAUGCUUUACACAUGCAAGUCGAACGGCAGCACGGGGGCAGCCCUGGUGGCGAGUGGCGAACGGGUGAGUAAUACAUCGGAACGUGCCCGGUCGUGGGGGAUAACGUAGCGAAAGUUACGCUAAUACCGCAUACGAUCUGAGGAUGAAAGCGGGGGACCUUCGGGCCUCGCGCGAUCGGAGCGGCCGAUGUCAGAUUAGGUAGUUGGUGGGGUAAAGGCCUACCAAGCCGACGAUCUGUAGCUGGUCUGAGAGGACGACCAGCCACACUGGGACUGAGACACGCCCCAGACUCCUACGGGAGGCAGCAGUGGGGAAUGUUGGACAAUGGGCGCAAGCCUGAUCCAGCCAUUCCGCGUGCAGGACGAAGGCCUUCGGGUUGUAAACUGCUUUUGUACGGAACGAAAAGGCUCUGGCUAAUACCUGGGGCUCAUGACGGUACCGUAAGAAUAAGCACCGGCUAACUACGUG